GGAGCCCUUUCCCAGGGCCCUCCAGCAGGCUUGCAUCUCGUUGGCCAGAAUCGCGCGACCAUGCCCAAAGGACCACUAUGAUUGGCUGAAAGCAAUCAGACCAGCCUCUAGGAGCUUGGCCUCUUCAGAAGCCUCUUACCGAGAGGAGAGUGGGUGUGUGAACUGCGUGGGGCCUCGGGGUCUGACAUCCCCCCAUGCUCCACGGAGAGGGGUAGUGUGGCCUGAGAACAGCUUCUAGGGCACUCUCUCCCGACCCCUCACCCCUACCCUGCAGGCGGGUGUCCUUUCCAGGUCAGUCUUUCUCUGAGCACCUGGAGCUGCUCAUUUCGGAUCCAAGAUGCAGGGCCUUUAACGUCCCUCUGCCUCAGGUGCUCACCCCUGCUUUUCCCGUGGCCCCACCUCACCGGGAAAGCCCUGUGUUCUCUUGCUGCCUCUGUCCUCUUCCCAAGGGCGCUUCUCCACGGGUGUGUAAGCAUCUCUCUGAUGGACGUGCUCUUCGUCCUUUGUACCCACGGAAGCAUUCCCAGGAGCCCUGCAGUUCCACGUUGCUUCUAUGAGAGGUCCCUGUGGCCCUGUCCACGGCAGCCUCAGACAGCCAGCAUCGGACAGCCAGCCUCCUCCCUCAGCAGACUGAGUGCCCUGUUCUCCCCUGUAAGGGGCACAGAGUCUGGUGCACAACAGAUGCCUGACUGUUAACUGAGUUGUCUGAUGAGGCCCAGCGCCAGGAGCCUGGGCCAGCUGACGGUUGGUUAGCUUGUCCAAGGCCACAGUUGCCUGUAGGCCUGUUUUAAUAGGUUGGUCAGGCAGUCACUGGAGCCUGCUGGGGCCAGAUGUGACAGGCGUGGGUCUAAGUCUGUUCUGGAUUCACUGCAAGAAGCCCCUGCAGAGGAGGCCCUUUAAUUGAGGAUGGGGAGGCGUCAGACAGAGAGAGGCCGGAAUGUCCAGGCUAAAGCUGCCUGGGGCUGAUGGAGAUGGGAGCAGGCCUGCCGUGGAGGUCUCCCCACCAAUUCCUGCACACUCCCCACUCCUGGGCUGAAAGAGCUAUGACUUUGAAGCAGCUUCAGCUGCAUGAACCUUGGGCUCCCGGAACUCUGCAGAGCUCUUGUCUCCCCUGGGAGAGCUGAGACUGGGAGAGCCCCAUCUCCCUGGCCUUGGUUCCUGAGGACACAGGUGAGGAAGUGCCGGGAGACUGCUGCCACUUUAAGACAGACCUGGGAGCCGAUGGUUUGAAGCCUUCCUUUGCUGCAAGACUGAAGCCCUCA
This 1262-nucleotide long non-coding RNA is filed under the name Equus caballus (horse). RNAcentral's name for it is "lncRNA (ENSECAG00000046899.1)". Lineage: Eukaryota; Metazoa; Chordata; Mammalia; Perissodactyla; Equidae. The record is from RNAcentral.